GACGAACGCUGGCGGCGUGCCUAAUACAUGCAAGUAGAACGCACAGUUUAUACCGUAGCUUGCUACACCAUAGACUGUGAGUUGCGAACGGGUGAGUAACGCGUAGGUAACCUGCCUGGUAGCGGGGGAUAACUAUUGGAAACGAUAGCUAAUACCGCAUAAUAUUAAUUAUUGCAUGAUAAUUAAUUGAAAGGUGCAAUUGCACCACUACCAGAUGGACCUGCGUUGUAUUAGCUAGUAGGUGAGGUAACGGCUCACCUAGGCGACGAUACAUAGCCGACCUGAGAGGGUGAUCGGCCACACUGGGACUGAGACACGGCCCAGACUCCUACGGGAGGCAGCAGUAGGGAAUCUUCGGCAAUGGACGAAAGUCUGACCGAGCAACGCCGCGUGAGUGAAGAAGGGUGUCGGAUCGUAAAGCUCUGUUGUAAGAGAAGAACGGGGGUGAGAGUGGAAAGUUCACACUGUGACGGUAUCUUACCAGAAAGGGACGGCUAACUACGUG
RNAcentral lists this ribosomal RNA (505 nucleotides) under uncultured bacterium. Its description in RNAcentral is "partial 16S ribosomal RNA". It matches the Rfam family "Bacterial small subunit ribosomal RNA", at positions 28 to 507 of the family's 1533-position model. The record is from RNAcentral.